CAGCCUACCUACCCCUGGAUAUUUGGAUCUUACCCUACCCUCUGUAUACAUCUGUAUACAUUUACAUCUCCUCACCUGCCUUAGCACAGCUAGUUCCACACCUUCCAUGUCCUGGUACAGCUGAGAGCUGGAUUCGAAUGUGUCCUGGGUUUGCUGCGUUACAGCAGUUCCUGCUUCAGUUAGAUCAGAACCUUCCCUGCUAAUUCAUCAUGACAUAACCAACCAGCCUCCUCCUACUGCACAGUUGAAUAAGCUUCUUGUUUCCCAUUGUUCCAAGUACAUGUGACUCAAGGCCUUCAUCAUCCACCUAGUCUGGUACAGUCCAGUUGGUGCAGCUGAACCACUUCAUGCAUUUUUAAAGCCAGAAGGGACCAUUAUGAUCAUCCAGUCUGACCUACUGCAUAAGACAGGUCAGAGAAUUACACCUAGUAAAUUCCUGCGCCCAGCCCAUGAGUGUGCCUUUUAGAAAGGCAUACAGUCUUGACUUUUAGACUCCUCAUGAAGGACUCUUGCUCAAUAUCUGGCAAAGAUUGGGGCAUGGAUGAAAGCUGGCUGGCCGAGGCUUGACUCGGAUAAGAACAAGGUAAUGCUGGAAGGCUGGGGGAAGCAACGGGAAAGAAUGAUAGUGAUUAUCAGCCUGCUUGGUCGAAGGAGUGCACCUGCCAUUUAUCACUCUUGUUUGCCAUUUAGGGACUGUGUUACGUCUUAGGCAGCCACUGGAUGCCCCAGUAGCAGCUGUAGCCAAAUUGCUUUUUCCCAUCUGCGCUUGGCAAGGAGGGUGCAACAUUUGCUUUCCAGUUCUGAGACAUCAUUACAGUUGUCCCUGUCGUUGUCACCUCAAUAUUAGACUAUUGCAGUGUGCUCUACAUUGGUUUGCACCUUAAGGUCAUCUGGCAGCUGAAGUUACUGCUGAAUGAGUUUGUCUGCCAAUUUGUUUCAUACAGAGAGCAUGUUGUGUUGGUGUUCAAGAGUCUGAGAAGUUUGGGAUGGAAUUUAAGGUGUCGGUUUUGACCUACCAAGCUCUAAAAGGUUUGGGACCUGCCUCUCUCCCAAUGUGAAGUUGCUACAGUGGUGUUCAGUGAGAGACCUCAAGGUAACAGCCUGAUGCUUUAAACAGAAGAGAGCUGGAGGGAAGGUAUUUUUCUUAAGGGGCCCUCUGACUCUGGACCUGGCUAAUUUCCCAAGCCCUGUCCAGCAAAGGUUGGACCAUUAUAACUAAGACUCUACUUGAAUUGUGGGAUGAUUGUCAAAUAAUUUCGGCUAAGUUGCAGACAAGACAUGGAA
Molecule: long non-coding RNA, 1284 nt
Organism: Trachemys scripta elegans
Lineage: Eukaryota; Metazoa; Chordata; Testudines; Emydidae
Exons: 3
Source: RefSeq, a predicted model, not a curated record